This 251-nucleotide ribosomal RNA is filed under the name uncultured bacterium. RNAcentral's name for it is "partial 16S ribosomal RNA". It matches the Rfam family "Bacterial small subunit ribosomal RNA", at positions 525 to 775 of the family's 1533-position model. The record is from RNAcentral.
ACGUAGGGGGCAAGCGUUAUCCGGAUUUACUGGGUGUAAAGGGAGCGUAGACGGUAAUACAAGUCUGAAGUGAAAGCCCGGGGCUCAACCCCGGAACUGCUUUGGAAACUGUAUAACUAGAGUACCGGAGGGGUAAGCGGAAUUCCUAGUGUAGCGGUGAAAUGCGUAGAUAUUAGGAGGAACACCAGUGGCGAAGGCGGCUUACUGGACGGUAACUGACGUUGAGGCUCGAAAGCGUGGGGAGCAAACAG